UGAAGUAACAGUGCACAGAAUUCCAUAGAGCUAAAGAGUAGCCUUAGUGUUGGAUAAUCUAGCCAUCUGACUUUGGGCAAGCCAUGGGAUCUUUGAUUCUUCAUUUACAAGAUGAAAGGGUUAUUCUACAGGGUGACAGUGAGCUGUCAGGGAUGGCAUACCCAUGACAGAGAUGGAUUUCUCCUGUAAGAAGCAGUCUACCACGGAGACCCUUGAUGGUACAUCGCAGCCUUGGCUUCCUUCUGACCUCAUCACCUCUGGGCACCCAGCUCUGUGUUCCUGGAGCCCAGAAAAGCCUCAUCUCCCAACUACAGCUCUAGCCCACAAGCCCUGCAUAAGUCCCAGAUGCCCUCACACAUACUGAUUGUUAAGGCACAUCAGGAGGAGAGAUGAUGGAUGAUGCUUGCUUGGUUUUAUUCAAAGUGUGCUUCCCAUUAAAGAGAAAUGUCAUUUGUGCCUCAA
Canis lupus familiaris (dog) is the source of this 462-nucleotide long non-coding RNA. RefSeq lists it as uncharacterized. The transcript has 2 exons. NCBI's taxonomy places the organism in Eukaryota, Metazoa, Chordata, Mammalia, Carnivora, Canidae. The record is from RefSeq and is a predicted model, not a curated record.